AUCCAGACUCCUACGGGAGGCAGCAGUGGGGGAUAUUGCACAAUGGGGGGAACCCUGAUGCAGCGACGCCGCGUGGGUGAAGGAGCGUUUCGGCGCGUAAAGCCCUAUCGGCAGGGAAGAAGGAGGACGGUACCUGACUAAGAAGCCCCGGCUAACUACGUGCCAGCAGCCGCGGUAAUACGUAGGGGGCAAGCGUUAUCCGGAAUUACUGGGUGUAAAGGGAGAGUAGGCGGCAAGGUAAGCGAUAUGUGAAAGCCUUAGGCUUAACCUGAGGAUUGCAUAACGAACUAUCUAGCUAGAGUACAGGAGAGGAAAGCGGAAUUCCUAGUGUAGCGGUGAAAUGCGUAGAUAUUAGGAAGAACACCAGUGGCGAAGGCGGCCUGCUGGACAGCAACUGACGGUGAGGCGCGAAAGCGUGGGGAGCAAACAGGAUUAGAUACCCGUGUAC
This 448-nucleotide ribosomal RNA is filed under the name uncultured bacterium. RNAcentral describes it as "partial 16S ribosomal RNA". It matches the Rfam family "Bacterial small subunit ribosomal RNA", at positions 329 to 793 of the family's 1533-position model. The record is from RNAcentral.